Molecule: ribosomal RNA, 475 nt
Filed under: uncultured organism
Description: partial 16S ribosomal RNA
Rfam family: Bacterial small subunit ribosomal RNA
Source: RNAcentral
GUACACUCCUACGGGAGGCAGCAGUGGGGAAUUUUGGACAAUGGGCGAAAGCCUGAUCCAGCAAUGCCGCGUGAGUGAAGAAGGCCUUCGGGUUGUAAAGCUCUUUUGUCAGGGAAGAAACGGUGAGAGCUAAUAUCUCUUGCUAAUGACGGUACCUGAAGAAUAAGCACCGGCUAACUACGUGCCAGCAGCCGCGGUAAUACGUAGGGUGCAAGCGUUAAUCGGAAUUACUGGGCGUAAAGCGUGCGCAGGCGGUUUUGUAAGUCUGAUGUGAAAUCCCCGGGCUCAACCUGGGAAUUGCAUUGGAGACUGCAAGGCUAGAAUCUGGCAGAGGGGGGUAGAAUUCCACGUGUAGCAGUGAAAUGCGUAGAUAUGUGGAGGAACACCGAUGGCGAAGGCAGCCCCCUGGGUCAAGAUUGACGCUCAUGCACGAAAGCGUGGGGAGCAAACAGGAUUAGAAACCCCGGUAGUCCCA